AUGAACGCUGGCGGCGUGCCUAAUACAUGCCAGUCGAGCGAACAGACGAGGAGCUUGCUCCUCUGACGUUAGCGGCGGGCGGGUGAGUAACACGUGGAUAACCUACCUAUAAGACUGGGAUAACUUCGGGAAACCGGAGCUAAUACCGGAUAAUAUAUUGAACCGCAUGGUUCAAUAGUGAAAGACGGUUUUGCUGUCACUUAUAGAUGGAUCCGCGCCGCAUUAGCUAGUUGGUAAGGUAACGGCUUACCAAGGCAACGAUGCGUAGCCGACCUGAGAGGGUGAUCGGCCACACUGGAACUGAGACACGGUCCAGACUCCUACGGGAGGCAGCAGUAGGGAAUCUUCCGCAAUGGGCGAAAGCCUGACGGAGCAACGCCGCGUGAGUGAUGAAGGUCUUCGGAUCGUAAAACUCUGUUAUUAGGGAAGAACAAAUGUGUAAGUAACUAUGCACGUCUUGACGGUACCUAAUCAGAAAGCCACGGCUAACUACGUG
RNAcentral lists this ribosomal RNA (496 nucleotides) under uncultured bacterium. RNAcentral's name for it is "partial 16S ribosomal RNA". It matches the Rfam family "Bacterial small subunit ribosomal RNA", at positions 29 to 507 of the family's 1533-position model. The record is from RNAcentral.